RNAcentral lists this ribosomal RNA (2932 nucleotides) under Proteus mirabilis. RNAcentral describes it as "23S ribosomal RNA". It matches the Rfam family "Bacterial large subunit ribosomal RNA". Lineage: Bacteria; Pseudomonadati; Pseudomonadota; Gammaproteobacteria; Enterobacterales; Morganellaceae. The record is from RNAcentral.
GGGUUGUGAGGUUAAGCGAAUAAGCGUACACGGUGGAUGCCUAGGCAAUCAGAGGCGAUGAAGGACGUGCUAAUCUGCGAAAAGCGUCGGUAAGGUGAUAUGAACCGUUAUACCCGACGAUAUCCGAAUGGGGAAACCCAGUAUCCAAUGGAUACUAUCAUUAACUGAAUCCAUAGGUUAAUGAGGCGAACCGGGAGAACUGAAACAUCUCAGUACCCCGAGGAAAAGAAAUCAACCGAGAUUCCCCUAGUAGCGGCGAGCGAACGGGGAGCAGCCCAGAGUCUUAAUCAAUAACAGUGUCAGGAGAACGGUCUGGAAAGUCCGGCAGUAAAGGGUGAUAGCCCCGUAUCUGAAGAUGCUGUUAUUGUGAACUCGACGAGUAGGGCGGGACACGUGUUAUCCUGUCUGAAUAUGGGGGGACCAUCCUCCAAGGCUAAAUACUCCUGAUUGACCGAUAGUGAACCAGUACCGUGAGGGAAAGGCGAAAAGAACCCCGGCGAGGGGAGUGAAAAAGAACCUGAAACCGUGUACGUACAAGCAGUAGGAGCCUCUUUAUGGGGUGACUGCGUACCUUUUGUAUAAUGGGUCAGCGACUUAUAUUCUGUAGCGAGGUUAACCGUAUAGGGGAGCCGUAGGGAAACCGAGUCUUAACUGGGCGAAUGAGUUGCAGGGUAUAGACCCGAAACCCGGUGAUCUAUCCAUGGGCAGGUUGAAGGUUGGGUAACACUAACUGGAGGACCGAACCGACUAAUGUUGAAAAAUUAGCGGAUGACUUGUGGAUGGGGGUGAAAGGCCAAUCAAACCGGGAGAUAGCUGGUUCUCCCCGAAAGCUAUUUAGGUAGCGCCUCGUGAAUUCAUCUUCGGGGGUAGAGCACUGUUUCGACUAGGGGGUCAUCCCGACUUACCAACUCGAUGCAAACUGCGAAUACCGAAGAAUGUUAUCACGGGAGACACACGGCGGGUGCUAACGUCCGUCGUGAAGAGGGAAACAACCCAGACCGCCAGCUAAGGUCCCAAAGUCAUGGUUAAGUGGGAAACGAAGUGGGAAGGCUCAGACAGCCAGGAUGUUGGCUUAGAAGCAGCCAUCAUUUAAAGAAAGCGUAAUAGCUCACUGGUCGAGUCGGCCCGCGCGGAAGAUGUAACGGGGCUAAACCAUGCACCGAAGCUGCGGCAGCGACACAAAGUGUUGUUGGGUAGGGGAGCGUUCUGUAAGCCUGCGAAGGUGUACUGUGAGGUAUGCUGGAGGUAUCAGAAGUGCGAAUGCUGACAUAAGUAACGAUAAUGCGGGUGAAAAACCCGCACGCCGGAAGACCAAGGGUUCCUGUCCAACGUUAAUCGGGGCAGGGUGAGUCGACCCCUAAGGCGAGGCUGAAAAGCGUAGUCGAUGGGAAACGGGUUAAUAUUCCCGUACUGGUGGUAACUGCGAUGGGGGAACGGAGAAGGCUAGGUUGUCCGGGCGACGGUCGUCCCGGUUCAAGCAGGUAGGCAGAGUGAUUAGGCAAAUCCGGUCACUUAAUGCUGAGAUGUGAUGACGAACCACUAAGGUGGUGAAGCAAUUGAUGCCCCGCUUCCAGGAAAAGCCUCUAAGCUUCAGGUUACCAACAAUCGUACCCCAAACCGACACAGGUGGUCAGGUAGAGAAUACUCAGGCGCUUGAGAGAACUCGGGUGAAGGAACUAGGCAAAAUGGUGCCGUAACUUCGGGAGAAGGCACGCUGGCGGUAGGUAAAGUCCCUUGCGGACGGCGCUGAAGCCAGUCGAAGAUACCAGCUGGCUGCAACUGUUUAUUAAAAACACAGCACUGUGCAAACACGAAAGUGGACGUAUACGGUGUGACGCCUGCCCGGUGCUGGAAGGUUAAUUGAUGGGGUCAGCCGUAAGGCGAAGCUCCUGAUCGAAGCCCCAGUAAACGGCGGCCGUAACUAUAACGGUCCUAAGGUAGCGAAAUUCCUUGUCGGGUAAGUUCCGACCUGCACGAAUGGCGUAAUGAUGGCCAGGCUGUCUCCACCCGAGACUCAGUGAAAUUGAACUCGCUGUGAAGAUGCAGUGUACCCGCGGCAAGACGGAAAGACCCCGUGAACCUUUACUAUAGCUUGACACUGAACAUUGAGCCUUGAUGUGUAGGAUAGGUGGGAGGCUUUGAAGUGUGGACGCCAGUCUGCAUGGAGCCAACCUUGAAAUACCACCCUUUAACGUUUGAUGUUCUAACCUAGGCCCAUAAACUGGGUCGGGGACCGUGUCUGGUGGGUAGUUUGACUGGGGCGGUCUCCUCCUAAAGAGUAACGGAGGAGCACGAAGGUUGGCUAAGCAUGGUCGGACAUCAUGCGGUUAGUGCAAAGGCAUAAGCCAGCUUGACUGCGAGAGUGACGGCUCGAGCAGGUACGAAAGUAGGUCUUAGUGAUCCGGUGGUUCUGAAUGGAAGGGCCAUCGCUCAACGGAUAAAAGGUACUCCGGGGAUAACAGGCUGAUACCGCCCAAGAGUUCAUAUCGACGGCGGUGUUUGGCACCUCGAUGUCGGCUCAUCACAUCCUGGGGCUGAAGUAGGUCCCAAGGGUAUGGCUGUUCGCCAUUUAAAGUGGUACGCGAGCUGGGUUUAGAACGUCGUGAGACAGUUCGGUCCCUAUCUGCCGUGGGCGUUGGAAGAUUGAGAGGGGUUGCUCCUAGUACGAGAGGACCGGAGUGAACGCACCACUGGUGUUCGGGUUGUCAUGCCAAUGGCAUUGCCCGGUAGCUAAGUGCGGAAGAGAUAACCGCUGAAAGCAUCUAAGCGGGAAACUUGCCUCGAGAUGAGUCUUCCCUGUCGCUUUAAGCGACCUAAAGGAACGUUUAAGACUAAGACGUUGAUAGGCUGGGUGUGUAAGCGUAGCGAUACGUUGAGCUAACCAGUACUAAUGAACCGUGAGGCUUAACCUGACAACACCGAAAGUGUUUUG